GCCUGGUAUCCUCGCUAGAACGGAACCACACCAAUCCAUCCCGAACUUGGUUGUUAAACGUUUUAGGAGUCACAAUACUUAAGCCGGGGGGCUUUGGGAAGAUAGCUUGAUGCC
This 114-nucleotide ribosomal RNA is filed under the name Parietochloris pseudoalveolaris. Lineage: Eukaryota; Viridiplantae; Chlorophyta; Trebouxiophyceae; Trebouxiales; Trebouxiaceae. The record is from RNAcentral.